GUCUGGAUGAUCAGGAUAAGACUGUUUAUGGUUCACAAAUGUUACCUUUCUAUUCCCCUCAGAUAAAAUUAGAAAUCUGUUUAGGGUGUUUGGAUCCAGAGUGAUAAUUUUUAAAAGUUUUAAGAAUCCAUCUCUGGUCUUUGGUUCUGGUUCUGAUUCACCAACUUCAAUGAAUCUUACUGACGUUUUUCUCCGUUUGUCUCUCAGGACAUCCUGUGUUUUGUCUCUGACCUCUGACACAGCUGCUGUCACGUCAUUAAAGAUUGUGUUUUUAUAGGAUAAAACUCUUUAAGAAUAUGAGUUCCUGUUAAUAUGCUAUUUAUUUCUGCUUCACUUUCUGUCAUUAUUGUUCUUACUGUGAGGCUCCAAAGACUCUGAGCCUGAGAAUCACAUUAGAUGAAAACAUUUGGUCCUCUCAACCCAGAUCAAAUAUUUUACUUUAUUUCCAGUUUCCUCUGUUAAGUCUGUGCAGGGUUAAGCAGGUUUCUCUUCCAAAAUGAUACUGAGCAGAACAUAUUAGAACAUUUUAAAACAAUGUCUUGUAUGGAUUUCAUGUGUUUAUGAUGCAAACAGACAUGUAACCACUGCAUGAAGUUUGGUGAGAAUUUUACAUUUUCAGGUAACAAAGAAGGAAUUUGACUUUUAAGUUGGUUCAGAAAAAAAAGACAUUUGGUCAACAAUUCACCAAAAUUAAGAAAACAUACUUAAUGUAAAAAAAUAAAAAA
Long non-coding RNA from Xiphophorus hellerii (green swordtail), 725 nucleotides. RefSeq lists it as uncharacterized. Lineage: Eukaryota; Metazoa; Chordata; Actinopteri; Cyprinodontiformes; Poeciliidae. The transcript has 2 exons. The record is from RefSeq and is a predicted model, not a curated record.